Molecule: ribosomal RNA, 253 nt
Filed under: uncultured bacterium
Lineage: Bacteria
Description: partial 16S ribosomal RNA
Rfam family: Bacterial small subunit ribosomal RNA
Source: RNAcentral
UACAGAGGGUGCAAGCGUUGUUCGGAAUCAUUGGGCGUAAAGCGCACGUAGGCGGCUUCGCAAGUCAGGUGUGAAAGCCUGGGGCUCAACCCCAGAAGUGCAUUUGAAACUGCGAGGCUUGAAUGUCGGAGAGGGCAGUGGAAUUCCGAGUGUAGAGGUGAAAUUCGUAGAUAUUCGGAGGAACACCAGUGGCGAAGGCGACUGCCUGGACGAACAUUGACGCUGAGGUGCGAAAGCGUGGGGAGCAAACAGG